UGCCAGCCGCCGCGGUAAUACGAAGGGACCUAGCGUAGUUCGGAAUUACUGGGCUUAAAGAGUUCGUAGGUGGUCUGUUAAGUCGGAUGUGAAAGCCCCGGGCUCAACCUGGGAACUGCAUUCGAUACUGGCAGACUAGAGUGCGAGAGAGGGAGGUAGAAUUCCAUGUGUAGCGGUGAAAUGCGUAGAUAUGUGGAGGAAUACCAGUGGCGAAGGCGGCCUCCUGGCUCGACACUGACACUGAGGUGCGAAAGCGUGGGGAGCAAACAGGAUUAGAUA
RNAcentral lists this ribosomal RNA (279 nucleotides) under uncultured bacterium. RNAcentral describes it as "partial 16S ribosomal RNA". It matches the Rfam family "Bacterial small subunit ribosomal RNA", at positions 506 to 784 of the family's 1533-position model. The record is from RNAcentral.